RNAcentral lists this long non-coding RNA (6537 nucleotides) under Sus scrofa (pig). RNAcentral describes it as "lncRNA (ENSSSCG00055025583.1)". The record is from RNAcentral. Lineage: Eukaryota; Metazoa; Chordata; Mammalia; Artiodactyla; Suidae.
AUGUGUAAUGAGUUUAUAAUUUUUUAAGAAAUUAAUCAUUUAAAAUGUAUCAUAUUUUAUUCAGCAUUGAUAGACACGGUCUAUAUAACCGAGUACCUUUUAGGUCUUGCUAAAUUUCAGGAGUAAAAAGGGACCCUGUGACCACAAGUUUGGAGAAGUAUUGAGGUGCUCGGGGGUGCGUUGGCCCUGUGGGCACUGUGCCUCCUUCUGUGUGGAGGAGAGGAGUCCAGCCUCUUCCCCAGAGGUGCCUCUGCCAGGCAGGGAGGGGACAAGGUGGGGGAGGUAGCCAGGCCCCUCCCUCCCCACAGACUGCCCUUGACACCAUGAGCCCAGGGGACUGCUGGUCAUCACAAAGGGCAGCCAGCCUCCCCACUGGGUCUCUGGACCUGCGUGUAUCCCGGAGAGGCGUGAAGCCUGGGUCUGGGUGGAGGAAGUGAGACUCAACCUGAGCCUGCCACCUCCCCUCCCCGUGACCCAGAGCAACCCACUCAGGCUUUCGCUGGAGCGAGCCCCGGAUUGAGAGCCCCCAUGCACCAGGGGUUCAGCCCAGGCUCUGGGCGAGUGAGGCAGACCCUGUGGAAGCCAGGGUCUGGGAGGGGAGGGUAGAGGGGCAACUGUGCCGAGCGUGAGGAUGUAGAGAGGGCAGUGGGCCUCUGAGCACCCACAGCAGGGGGGCCACUGUUGGGGGAGGGGCAGGAGCAAGGGAGGGACUCCUGGGGCUCCCAGCCCCUCUCCAGGCACCCCUCCAACCUCUGAGGAGCAGAGCGGGGCCAAGGACUGGGAGUGGAAAGCGUCUGUCCAGCCCGGGGAAUUGGAAUCUGCAGGACACUGCACCUCUGGACGCUUUGGAAGGGAGGGCUGGUCCCAGCAGGGCCGUGUGCCCAGGGGAGGGGGAGGCUCCCUUCUGCUGCUGAUGGUGACAGCGAUAGUCUCCCCCGGAUAUUGACUACGCAGCUUUCGGGGAUUUUAAUACCACGGCUCCAGGGGACACUGUGAUGUCUGCCGUCACAAAGCAGAGGUGGGUGUGGGAGGAAGCUCCACAGAGAGUCAUCCGCUCUUCCUUACAGCAGCUCACUCACUCCUCACUGACUCAUCCAUUCCAGCCCUCUUUAGCCGCACGCCCCUUCAUUCAUUCAGCCAGUCACUCAUCUGCACACCUGCCGGUCCACCAACAUCUACUGCGUGUCAGGCCAAGUUUCCAGGGAGACAGUGAUUUGUCCUUGUUGUCUGCUUGUAAGGAGAUGGAAAGUCCAGUAAAGAAUGGCGAUGGUGGUGAUGGUGGUGAUGGUGGUGGUGAUGAUGGUGGUGAUGGUGGUGAUGAUGGAGGUGAUGAUGGUGAUGGUGAUGGUGGUGAUGGUGAUGGUGGUGAUGGUGGUGAUGAUGGAGGUGAUGAUGGUGAUGGUGAUGGUGGUGAUGGUGAUGGAUAAGGAUGGUGGUGAUGGAGGUGAUGGUGGUGGUGAUGAUGGUCAUGAUGAUGGUGGUGGUGAUGGUGGUGAUGGAGGUGAUGGUGGUGAUGAUGGUGAUGAUGGUGGUGAUGAUGGUGGUGAUGGUGGUGAUGGUGGUGAUGGAGGUGAUGGUGAUGAUGAUGGAGGUGAUGGUGGUGGUGAUGAUGGUGAUGGUGAUGGAUGAGGAUGGUGAUGAUGGAGGUGAUGGUGGUGAUAAGGAUGGUGGUGAUAAUAGUGGUGGUGAUGGUGAUGACAGUGGUGAUGCUGACAGCAAUAGUAACUAACAUUUUUUGAGCACACAGUAUCUUCCAGGUAGUAUUCUAAGCCCUCUACAUACAUUAGCUCACUUAAUUCUCAAAAUAGGUCUAUGAGGGGGGUACUAUUGAAGCCCCAUUUUAUAGUUGAGGAGACAGAGGACCGACAGGUUGAAUGAUAUGCUGCAGUUGCAGACACCGAGUGGCUGUGACAAGGUGACCCCUCCGACUCUGUGCUGUUGGAGGAACACCUGGCUUCACACAGGUUACAAGCUGGGGCAGCAGGGAUCUCAGUGGAGGUGUGAGCAACCUGUCUGGCUUUUACGGAUGUGUGAGGUCAGGUCUGCCUGGGGCUAUCAAGGAAGGCCUCACAGAGGAGGUAGCAUUUAGGUGGGUCUUGAAGAUAGAGUAAGAACUUGGCAAGAAGGCAGCAGAAGAUAAUGCACGGGGAGUGAAACAGAUGUUGAGGGAGCAGCUAGUGGUUUGCAGGGAGGAGAGUCCAGAGAAAGUGGGGAGACUUGAAAUUCGGGGCAUUGCCAUCAUGGAACUGUGAGCAUCCUGCUGGGGGUCUUGGGAGCAGGCAGCAGGGAAUGGGCUGGCGCGGGUGGGGAUGGCAGCAAGAGACAGUCAGCAUUUCCAGGCCCAGCGCAGCAGCUGGGCAAACCCUCACUAGAUCUGGGCACUGACACGCAUGGUUGGUGGGCGAGGGCUCCCGCAGAGGCCCCUGGCGGCAUGUGCAGGAGGCUCUGUUGUCCAAUUAUGCAUUAGGGAGCCCGGGGGAGCUGCCUGGAGAGUGGCCAGAUGUGGGCCUAGCUUCACAGUUGAGACAAGGAAGAUCCCAGCAAGAGGCCUUGUUGUGGCCGGUGGCCAGUUGGGCUCAGAGUGGGCAGAGUCAUGGCCAAGGUGAAGUGGGGGUCAGUCAGAAGCUGCAGAGGCUACGUAUGGCUGGGGUCAAAGUGCAGACCCUCUAGGGAUGGUACGGAGAGAGGCAGGGGGGAGGAAGGUCACCAUCAGACACUGGACCUCGAGUGGACGUGGCGCCCCAGGCGGGAGCCGUGGCCCCAGUGGACCAAACGCAGUGCCCAUUCAGGACAGCUCUGGUGUGAGUAGAAAAUGCUGGGUCCUGGCACCCCUGGCCCAUCUGUAAUACUCACUGGCCUUGGCCUUCUCAUCACCUGGACCCACAUUUGGGCCACCUGGGUGCGGGGGAGGGUCAGGGCCAUUGGUCACUGUGCAUCUCCUUUCUUUAAAGGGGCCGAUGCUGCCUCCGUUUGCCAGGAUGCUGACACACUUGCUUCCUCCUGACCUCGUGUGGUCCCUCAUCCUCCUCAGCCCUCAGUCUGCCCAUCUGUUAAAUGAGAGGUUUACUCUGGUCUGGAUUCUCUUAGAGACAGAGGAGGAGGGGCAGACGAGCCAAACCUUGACCUCAGACCCACAGGUAGCCUGGAAGGCUCACUGGGUCUGGAAGGCAGGAGCCCUCCAUCCACUCCAGGCUGGGGGAGGCGAGCUGAGAAGGUGCAUUAAAAAAUGAUCUGUGGCUCCCCAAACAGAAGGGAAUAUUGACACAGUUAUUUUUAGCAUUAUUAAAAUAAGUCUGUUUUGCUCUUUUUCUGCGCUCCGCUCCCCGCUCAAUCUUGGCUUCCAGAUUGAAUGUGUGUGCACGUGUGUCCAGGCCGAGGCUCCAGGGGAGCCACCACUGCAAUCAAAAUGUUAAUGAGACCCUGAUUGUGUCUCUCGCCACCUCCUCCAUCCCUCUGCCUUCCCCAAAUGUCACUGGGACUUUGUGGAGCCCUGGGGAGGGGCCCCCGCAUUCGUUGAAAAUGAGACCUCAGCUUAAUGCUCCAUGGAAGCAGCCCCGGGAGGCCUGGGAACUUGGGGUGCAGAAAGCUGGGCUUUGCUGACACCCCGGCUUCCUCCUCUCCUGCUGCUGCUCCUCCAGGUCGGAGUCAGGCUGGUCGCUUUGGGGGCAGAACUGUGAAACCACUGGCCAUGGUGCUGGUCCCUCCUCGCCAGGGACAAGGCUCUGCAUCGCUGACUGGGGUGGUUGAGCCUCCAGCUCAGACGAAAGCCUUGGACCCCGUGGGGAGGUCUGUUUGGUUACUGGGAGAGGACCGCGGCCUCGGGGAGAUGCUGGGUCCAGCAGGCUCUGUGACCUUGAGCUGUGUGAUCUAGGACAAGUUACAUGGCCUCUCUGAGCUUCCUUUUCUUCCUCUGUAAAAUUGGAAUGAUAGACUCCCACCCUCCUCCCCACCCCACGCCCAGGAGCUUCAAGCUCAAGUCCCUGGCUCUCUGAACGAGACAAAUACCCAGGUUUCUCCCAGCCUCUUCACAGCUUAAGGCUCUGAAUUUUCUACACAACUGGCCAUCAGGCUCGCAUGCGUGGCGUCCAGGACCCUCUGCACUUUCCCUCCUGCCUUACCUUUCUGCAGUUCCCACCGUCGUCCUGUCUGUCCGGCCCCAUGGAGACUCACCCCUGACCCCUCCUCCCGUCCACACUCACCCAUCGCCCCUGUUCUGCCUCUGGGUCUGUGCCCCCAGCCCUGCCCAGAUGCAGCAGAGCCUAACCUCCCAUUCUUUCGGUUAACACGGCUCAUCAGCUGCUAUAGCGCCUGGGACGGUGCUGGGGCUUUGCUGUGGUGCGUAAAAGUGGACCCGUGUCCAGCCAUCAUGUGGCUCCUGGGGAAAGUCUUUCUUGGGGACAGACACAGGCAUCCAAACCCACACAGACUCCUGUGAAAUUGCCCCCAGGGCACGUGUGGUCAAGGAGAGACGUGUGGUCCUGGAACACAGACGGGGGGCUGGCAGGCUCGGGGAGGCAGCCUGAGCUGAGAUGUGAAGGGUGAGAGCAGAGAGAACCCCGGGGCUGCGUGUGACCUCGCAGGCUGCGCAGGUGUGGAGAAUGAGCUGGGGGGGACUCGGGGGGCUGUGGGGAGACCAGGCAGGAGGCGUGAAUCAGCUUGCAAGAGGCCGUGGUGCCUGAACACUGGGGUUGAUGGGGGAGGCAGAGGGUGUGGGUGGGGGAAGGGGCGCACCCUGAGAAGCACAGGUGUAGGAGGGAUGAGUGGGGUGCGUGGCAUGAGGGCCCAGAACGAGGCCAGGCGUCGUCCCUGCCAUCUGCGCUGCCUGGGCUAGAACGGGAGUGGCGGGUGAGAGGUCUGGUGCCGCGGGGCGAGCCCGGGAUGCACUGGGGGUUUGUGGGGCCAAAGAGUGCUGGCCGCACCUGUGCUCUGCCUGCCGCCCACCCCACUGGGCUGCCCCCUCAUGUGGCAUAUGCCACCUUCUGACAUGAUAGCUCUUUAUGGAAUUGUUGGCUUGUUGCCUCUUGCUAGACCUCAAACUGUGACUUCUGCAGGGACAAGGACGGCCUCUGCCGUGGCCACGCUGGGCCCAAGCACCUGGCCACCACUCACGAAACCUGUGUGUCAAAUGAAUGAACGAACAGAUGCAGGGGUGGGCUGGGCCUGCCUUUCUGGAGUAGCCCCUGCUCGUGGUCAGCGCCUCGGGGAGCUUGUCCCCACCUGCUGUGCGGCCCCCGGGGAGGCAGGGCUGGGGUCUCCGGCCUGGAAGUUGCGGGGAGACCUGGCUUCCUCUGCUUGCCUUCCCCUCUCCUCUCUUCAGGGUCGUGAAGAAACUCUGCACCUAGUGGGCCGGGAGCUGGCGGGGGCGGGGAAGGGGGGGCCCCACUCAGCCUCAGCCGUCCCUACCGGUGGACCGUGGUCUCCAAGGGGACAGAAGGUCUGAACGGCUUGUCCCGGGAGCCUGAGGCCUGGGGAGGGUUUAGGGUGAGAGCAGACACCUUCCUACCAAGCCUGAGGCUCUUCCCGGCCAGGUGUCUGGCCCCCAACCCCUCUAGGGAACACUGUGGUGGGGACGCUGUGGCAGAGAGUCUGGGUGGGGCACGAGCUUGUGUACCUGGCGGACACCUGCCAAGCUCCUGCCCUGCACCUCACCAGUGACAGCAAGUGGGGGAAAGCUCCCCCACACCCCAGGAAGGGCCCUGGGGGGCUUCAAAGAGGUGCCGGAGCUGGGGGAGGGGGUUCUUCCGUCCACGGUAGGGAACAUGGGCUCCAGCUCCCACCCCGAGCCUCUGAGCUGUGUGCUGGGCUGGUCGCCUGUCCCUUGCGCCUCAGCAUUCCCGUCUAUGAUUUGGGGUGACCUGGGUACUGAGCGCUCCUCAUUAGUCUGGAUUUGGCUUGUUCCAGAGAUGGGGGCUGCAGAGGGAGGGAGAGUGGGGUGGGAGCUCCUGCUUCUGUCCUCCGGGCCCUGCUUGGCGGGUCUUUACAUCCGAAGCCCCUCACCGCCCUCAUUUCAUGGCAAAGGAUGCAGGGCUGUGUGUGAUGAUGUGACUUAGUCACAGGGGGGGACAGAGUUGUGAGGCCAGAUACAAGUGUGUUCAGGCAGAAUCCAAGGCCAGGCGGGGCCAGCACACCUUGCUUAAGGCCCCGAGGAGCAGGGGCUGAGGGUGGCCACCCCCGCAUGUGCUGACGUUUCUGUGUGGGAGUGGAGGACCCGGCCUGGGCCCCGCCCGGCUGCCCUCUGCUCCGUGGGAUGUGUUGUUGCGGGCUCUCGGUGGCCUCCCGCUCGUUCCCGCCACACUGAGCGUGCCCUCCCCCUGGACAGGGCAGGGGCCGACGUCACAGGGCCUCCGCCUGGAGUCCCCACGGUGCUGGGCUGCAGGGACCUGACUGGCCGUCAUUCUUGUACCAUUUGGCUCGGGGUUUGUGAACCAGGGAAGGGUCAGCCCUGAUACCUCCCUGCCCGUGAUCUUGGGCAGAAAAGUCAGUUCCGAGGUCCUGGGUCACCAGGUGCUCAGGCCCGAGACUCCAUCAGCACAGCCC